Long non-coding RNA from Maylandia zebra (zebra mbuna), 1152 nucleotides. RefSeq lists it as uncharacterized. The record is from RefSeq and is a predicted model, not a curated record. Lineage: Eukaryota; Metazoa; Chordata; Actinopteri; Cichliformes; Cichlidae.
CAUAGCUGUGUGUGGUUCUCCCGUGUCUCCUGGUGUAUUAGUUUCCCCCAGUUGAAUUUGCAUUGUUUUGUAUCACCUUUACUUCUGCUCAGCAAAUAAAGCUGCAUUUUUGAGUCAAGUUCCCAUUUUGAGCUCUAUCCAGGAGAAAGGGACUGCUGCCAAGAGCACGAUGAAAGGCUGCAUAAUUUUGUCUCCCGGGUUAUAAACCACACCGCCUGUUCCUUUGUCUCUCUUCCCUGAGGUCUGGUGUGUGAGCAGGUAAAUCUUACUACAGCUAUGAGGUCAUGCAACCGGCUUCGACUGGAUCUCUGGCUAGCACACCUGCUCUCCCUCGGCUUAUCAGCCAGCUGCAUAUUUAAGAGUCGUUCACUCAACAUCAGGUUAUACUGCUUCAGUAGUGCUAACAGCUUCCAGCCCAGCUUAGCGUCUUUGCGUCUGGUCUCCUCUUUAAUAUUCUCCAGUGGGCUCAGCUCUGGAACAGCUCCCUCUGCUGCACUCCAUCCAUCAUCAACAAAGUUCUCCCACUAGUUUUGUUCUUCAUCUGUAUGCUAAACGAUUCCAGUAACUUGUCACGUAAUUGUUAUAGGGUAACUGUCUGUUUAUGACUUUGUAAAUUAUCUAAACCUUCACUGUCACAUUUGCAGGUAGAAAAAAGCAAUAUCACCUGCUCUAUAAGAUUUUGCCACAAAAUGUAUUGCUAUAAUGUGUUAAGUGUAUUUUUAAUUCCUCUUGAAGAUGUAGUGCUAUCUCGUGAAAUUCAGUGUGUAUCGAUUACAUUUUUCAUGUAAAUGACCAAACCUUGCUCUUCAGUUUAUGAGCUACGGAAGAAUGUCCUCUUUUUUCUUUUCUUUUUUUGUCUCUCAUAAAAUUCUCCAGUAAAAAUAUUGUUUGGCAUCCUUGUUCCUUUUUCUGAAUUAUUGCAAAACAAGAUUAAUAAAUGAGGAUUUUGAAUAGGAACCAAGCAAAUUGCUCAGGACAAUGAAGUUUAAAUCAGUUCAUAUUUCUAUUCACAGUGAAGACCAUCCACUGAGCACUGAGGCCUCGUUAGAGCAGUAAUCAUUAAGGUUAUUAGGAAAUAAAUCUCCUUGUCUUAUCUUCAGUAAAAGUAUUCAAAUAAUAUUAAAUAUUAUCCCUGCGAUCUACAGCGCUGAA